RNAcentral lists this unclassified non-coding RNA (299 nucleotides) under uncultured fungus. Its description in RNAcentral is "partial contains 5.8S rRNA, ITS2 and 28S rRNA". It matches the Rfam family "Eukaryotic large subunit ribosomal RNA", at positions 668 to 958 of the family's 3401-position model. The record is from RNAcentral. Lineage: Eukaryota; Fungi.
AAGGAGUCUAACAUGUAUGCGAGUAUUUGAGUGUCAAACUCAAGUGCGUAAUGAAAGUAAUACUUAAGAUGGGAUCUUGGACUUUGCUUCAAGUGCACCAUCAACCGAUCUGGAUAUUCGUUUGAAAGAUUUGAGUAUGAGCAUAUCUGUUGGGACCCGAAAGAUGGCAAACUAUGCCUGAAUAGGGUGAAGCCAGAGGAAACUCUGGUGGAGGCUCGUAGCGGUACUGACGUGCAAGUCGAUGGGCAGAUUUGGGUAUAGGGGCGAAAGACUAAUCAAACCAUCUAGUAGCUGGUGCC